UUGUUCUAACACUUCUCAAAAGGAAGUUUAGCACUCUACGGUGCUCUUGAAUUUCAUAUUGUAGUUGCCCCAUUUCGGCAACAAUUGUAGAAAGCAUGUUUGCAGCAUCCAUAGUAGUACUCAAUUUCUUUGAUUUGAAUUUAAUGAAGUGAAGACACUUAUCGAGCCUCCAUUUAUAGAGUGGUAGAGUAAUCUCGCAAUGCGGCAUGAAUUGGAUGACUUAAUAGUUUUCUGCAGUUUAGUACUAACAUGCCUGUGUGGUGAACUAACUACCUUGGGAAGCAACAAAUAUGCCCCCAAUCACGCUGCCUAUGUGAACAAAUUUAAAAACUUCGCAUAACCAGCUUAAUUAAGUAGAAAAACCUAAUCGAUAGUUGUUAGGAUGAAU
RNAcentral lists this long non-coding RNA (388 nucleotides) under Gossypium barbadense (sea-island cotton). Its description in RNAcentral is "long non-coding RNA (GBAR_LNC002635)". The record is from RNAcentral. Lineage: Eukaryota; Viridiplantae; Streptophyta; Magnoliopsida; Malvales; Malvaceae.